RNAcentral lists this transfer RNA (84 nucleotides) under Planctomycetota bacterium. RNAcentral's name for it is "tRNA-Ala". Lineage: Bacteria; Pseudomonadati; Planctomycetota. The record is from RNAcentral.
CCCCCCGUGGUGGAAUCGGCAGACACGCCCGCCUUGCAGACGGGCGGCUUCACAGCCAUCCGAGUUCGAUCCUCGGCGGGGGGA